CCCCACAUCCCUCACCCCAUCCAUGCCUCAAUUCAUCCAGCCAUAAAUUGGGUCUAAUUACACCCACCUCACAGAGAAGACCAGGACUUAGCCACCAGAGCCAGUCCAAGUGAGGUGAAGGCAUCUCUCGAUGGGGGACUACUGUGUUUCAAGCUCUAUCCCAAUCCAUAGAGAAGCAUUAGGUUGACUGGAAAACUUCCCUGGAGGAGCUACAAAAUACAGUUUGGAUCAACAGCCCUAUAGGAAUGGGAAAUUCAGAUGCAGACAGGUGCUGAAGACCAUGUGAAGGCACAGGGAGGAGGUGGCCAUCUGCAAGCCAAGGAGAGAAGCCUCAGAAGAAACCAACCCUGCCAACACCGUGACCUCAGACUCCAGCCCCCAGAACUAGCCAUAGUUUGUCUUCCACAACUGGAGGUUUGAAAAGAAGGAUGAGGACACUGAAUCUCAGAGACGUCAAGUUCUUUCAUCGAGAUUCCAUAGAAUGUUCCCUGUUUCUUCAUCUAUGACAUGGGGAUAAUGUGAGUAUACCUACAUCAGAGGGCUGCGAUGAAGACUAAAUAAGCUCCUGCCAUCAAAAGUUGGAGUCUGUUUCCCCACGCCUUGAAUCUGGGCUGGCUCUAUGAUCCACUUUGGACAACAGAAUUUGGUGGAAGUGAUGCUAUGCCAAUGCUGAGGUGAGGCCUCAAGAGGCCUUGUGGGCUGUGACUCUUUUGGAACGCUGCCUAGCUGUCACGUGAACAAGGCUACUGCAUGAUGAGAGACCAUAUGGAGCCAAAACAUGCCUUUCCAGCUGAGGCCCUCCUAGUCCAGCCAGCCCUAGAUGCACAAGCUGGUGACCAAAGAUACAUGAGUGAGUCCAGAUGAGAAGUCCCUCGUUGAGCCCAGCCCAAUUGCUGAUCCACUGACUUGUGAGAUGGAGAAGCCGCUACGAGGUUUUGAAGGGAGAAAUUUGGAACCUAAAAAUUUUGAAGACUUCAUAGUAAAAGCAAUGAAGUACAAGCAAUAGAUAGACACUCUUAGAGAUCUAGAGACUUGAAAUAGAGAUGUAAGACAAAUCAAUGCUAAGAAUAUGAGAAUGGGGGACUUCUGGUAUGAAAGGGCAUGUAGUUCUUCUUUUACAAAACUUAGACCCCAAGAUUCAGCAAUUCAGCUGGAUGCUAUGUUAUCAGGUAAUAAUAAUUCUGCACCCUUGAGCUUAGUCCUCACAACUUCCCUCAGCUGCUCUUCUGCAACUUCACUGAGACCAAGAAUUAGAUUUCCCUAUUUGUAUGUUUCUUAAUACAAGUUACAUCACUUAAUUCAGAAAAAUAAGGAUCAGGAGAACCAAAGUCAUUUGUGGACUUGCAUGGGUCUCACAAUAAUUGAGUAGCAUUGUGGAAUUCCUACUGAGUUUGUCGAAAUGCAGCCUUGGCCUGACACCAGAGUCCACUACACCAGAGCACAGCUGGGACUGACAGAGGCUUCUGGACCUGUGCUGCCAUUUCCCCUGGCGCUUGGAUUUUCUGUGUCUUGAGGGCAAUGGGCUGUACCAGGAGGCAUCCACAGAUGCCUGCCUUUCUCUAAUAAUUUCUUCUGGGCAAUACCAGAGUAAGGCCGAAGAGUCCUGACUUGAUAGUCCCUGUGAGGUUGCAGUGCAGAGUAGGGGCCCAGCCUUCCCAGGCAUGCCCAGCCCCAGAACCUUCCUGCCUGGCGCUUUUCUUUAGGGAAGUCUCUCAGAUCCUUGGUUAGAAAACCAAGAGUGAGCACAUCUUCCUCUUUCAAGAUAGCUCUUUCCAUUGGUGAAAAGGCCAAGACAAAAGGAAACGCUGAGGUAGAAAGGGCCCUGACAUUUCACACUCAUGUUUCUGGCCCUGCUUUUUUUAGAAAAGUAACUCUUUCCCAUGGUUAGGGGAGAAGUCAGACCUUCCUGUUCCUCUUGAGCAGGGCAUGAAGCAAUUUUCAGCCCUGAUGUUGACACCAGGUCAUACCCCCACACCUUCUCCCUGGGCCAGGCUCUUUGGACUUCUGAGCUCUGGCCUUUCCAAUAGGAAAGUGACCAACUGGCCACAGAAACAAGAUCUGCAUAGCUUUUGCAGAGGAAAAGAAGUAGCAGGGAAUAGAAGCAAGGACUCAGACCCUUGGGCUGCCCAGCUUCGCUUCUCUCCCAGCUCGGCUUCUCUCCCAGCUCCAUUGCUUAUUAUCUGGGAGGAAUCAGACAAGUUACUUAACCUUUCUUAGUCUUGGUCUUCCCACUAGAAAAGUAUGGAGAUAGUGCUAUAUGCACAAGGGGAUUGUUUAUAGGAAUAAAUGAGAAGAUCUACACAGAGAGUUUAGUGUAGGGCUUGGAACAUAGUAAAUAUUCCACAGACAUUAAUUACUCUCAAGAUUAUUGAAGGUUGUAUCUAAAUCCUUAGUUUGAGCAGCCAUUUGAAUACACAGUGUACAGGAGGCAGGAUUGUGCACCUAGAGAGGGAGGACUCUGGAUUCAACGAGAUCUGGGUUCAAAUCCCCACUCCAAUAAUUACCAGUAAGCAGAAUGAACAUGGAAAAGUUAAUUCUCUUCUUUGAGCUUGAUUUCUCACCUUGUGCUUUCCUUGCAUGGUUCUUGUUGAGGGCUGGUGGUGGGGAGAUUAUGUGAAAUCAUGUAUGCCAGACACACAGUGGAUGUGCAAUAAUGGUUCCCAUUAUUACUAAGGAAUCAAGUCAAAUCCAUUCAAAGGAUGGCCUGAACCUUUAUGGGUCUGAUCACCAUUAAACAUGUGAAGGCGGGUUAGUCCGCUGGCAUUUUGUGUGUGGAGUGAAUCAAAAGAAAAAUUAAGGUCAAAAUGGCUUUCUUCAUUUGAUCAUUCACUUUUUCAUACCCCCAGUGCCUGGCACGGUGUCUGGCUUAUUUUAGGUCAUCAAUACAUAUUUGCUAAUUUAAAUAAAGCUUUAUUAAUGCCAACAUAUUUUGUAUGGGCAGGGCUGGCUCCAUGGGCAGCCAUGUUGGCAUGGCUAUGCUUGGGAGGGCCCCAUGACAUCUUCAAAGUCUUAAUAAUUUUUAAAUAAGGGCCCUUCAUUUUUAUUUUGCACUGGGCCCCACAAAUUAUGCAAUAAGUCUUGUGUACAGGCAAAUAAAAUGCAAUGUAAAAAGGCUGAUAUUUUCCUUCUAAAAAUUCUCCAUUGGCUCCUCAUUGCACCUAGAAGAAAUCCAAGCUCCUUAUAUGGCUUACCAGUCCUUAUAUGACUUACAUGGUCUCUGUAGUCACACACACCUUGAUUCCUAAACUCCAGCCACCCAGGCCUGCUCAUUUAACAGUCUGAGCUCUCUACCUGCUCCCCAUUUGGGUCUCAGCUCCUAAAUCACUUCCAUAGCAAGAUCCCUCCCUGACCAUCCUCCUAGCCACUCUGUCUUUUUAAAAAAUUUAUUUUAUAAUUUCAACUUUUAUUUUAGAUUUGGGGGUAUAUGUGCAAGUUUGUUACAUGGGUAUGUUGCGUGAUGCUGAGGUUUGAGGUAUGGAUCUCACCACUCAGGUAGUGAGCAUAGUACCCAAUAGGUAGUUUUUCAACCCCCAGGCCCCAUUUCCCUUCCGCUUCUAGUAGUCUUCAGUGUUGAGUGUUCCCAUCUUUAUGUCCAUGUGUACUCAAUGUUUAGCACCCAUUUAUAAGUGAGAACAUGCAGUAUUUGGUUUUCUGUUUCUGCAUUAAUUUGCUUAGGAUUAUGGCCUCCAGCUGCAUCCCUGUUGCUGCUGCAAAGGACAUGAUUUCAUUAUUUUUUAUGGCUGUGUAGUAUUCUUUUUUUUUUUUUUUUUUUUUUGAGAUGGAGUCUCACUCUGUCAUCCCAGGCUGGAGUGCAGUGGCGCGAUCUUGGUUCACUGCAAGCUCUGCCUCCCGGGUUCACACCAUUCUCCUGCCUCAGCCUCCUGAGUAGCUGGGACUACAGGCGCCCACCACCACGUCCUGCUAAUUUUUUGUAUUUUUAGUAGAGAUGGGGUUUCACUGUGUUAGCCGGGAUGGUCUCGAUCUCUUGACCUCGUGAUCCGCCCGUCUUGGCCUCCCAAAGUACUGAGAUUACAGGCAAGAGCCACUGCACCCGGCCACGACUGUGUAGUAUUCUAUGGCAUAUACAUACCACAUUUUCUUUAUGUAAUCUGCUUGUGGUGGGCCCCUAGGCUGAUUCCAUGCCUUUGCUAUUGUGAAUAGCCCAAUCCAUUUUCUUAGCCUGCUUUACACUCUUCGUAGCUUCUGAUGCUUUCUGAAAGGAGUUAGAGUUUACUUUUAUGUUGACUUGUUUAUUUUCUGUUUCCCCCACUGUACUAAACUUGAUGGAGCAGCCAUCUUCCUGUCUCAUUCCCUCCCUUGUUCCCAAAGCAUUGCCCAGCCCUCAGCACACAGUGGGUGCUCUGAAUACUUAUGGACUGAAGAAUGAAUGAACUUGGCAGUUCUGGGAUUUUAAUCUUAAAAUGCCGAUCCUUCAGGACUUUCUCCAAUGGGAAAGUGAGACCAGAAUUGGCACCAUAUACCCUAGUUGGGGAUGAGUGACCAUUUGUCUCCAUAGCCUCCCAGUUGAGCAAGAUGUCCACCAUUUCCAUGUUCUCCUGGUAACACAAGCUGUGAAGGGCUGGAAGUUGGGGCUUGGCUCCUAAGCCCAGUCUCCCGGGUCAGGUCCCUGCAGUAGGAUCCAGUCUGCAGAUGGAGAUGUAGAAAGGUCUGGAUAGCUGGUGUGAACCAAGAGGCAGGAAACAGGAGAUUGAUAGCAAUGAAAACAUUGGAUGAGAAGUCACUUAACCCAAUGCCCCAUUUUACGGAAAAGAAUAUUGAGAUUAAACGAGAGGAAGAAACUUAUUUUGUAAUAAUAAUAAUAACAGCAAAAAUCCAACCCAACUCAAACCAAUCCAAAUAAAAUCAAUGAAACAAAUGAAAAGAAAAAAAAACAAUGAGAGGCAGUAUAGUGUAGCAUUAAGACCUCAAUACAAGCAUGAUAUUAAAUGAGUUAAUACUCCUAAGGGGCUUAAGGCACAAAGUUCCUGGCACAACAAGUUUGCUAUAUAAGUAUUCACAAAUUAAAGGCUAAAUCUAUUGUGCUCUUUUGCUGUUCCAGGAAAUUUGCAAGCCUCUUACUUACACAAUUUCAUUUGAUUCUUCCAGUCACCUGUUGAGGUAGGUGCUAUGAUGAUUUGUCCCCAUUUUACAGAUGAUGAAAUGAAG
This is a long non-coding RNA of Homo sapiens (human), 5166 nucleotides long. RefSeq lists it as uncharacterized. The transcript is spliced from 8 exons. NCBI's taxonomy places the organism in Eukaryota, Metazoa, Chordata, Mammalia, Primates, Hominidae. The record is from RefSeq and is a predicted model, not a curated record.